This 284-nucleotide long non-coding RNA is filed under the name Daucus carota (carrot). Its description in RNAcentral is "long non-coding RNA (DCAR_LNC003388)". Lineage: Eukaryota; Viridiplantae; Streptophyta; Magnoliopsida; Apiales; Apiaceae. The record is from RNAcentral.
UAUAGUCCAAGCUCUCCAGGAUAUAGUCCUAGUAGCCCUACAUAUUCACCGACAAGUCCAUCCUACUCCCCUACCUCCCCCAGCUACAGCCCCACCUCCCCCAGCUACAGCCCCACCUCCCCAAGCUACAGCCCGACCUCCCCAAGCUACAGCCCCACCUCACCUGCCUACAGCCCCACCUCACCUGCUUACAGCCCCACCUCUCCGUCCUACAGCCCCACCUCUCCAUCCUACAGCCCGACCUCUCCGUCCUACAGCCCGAGCUCCCCGUCCUACAGCCCAAC